AUUGAACGCUGGCGGCAGGCCUAACACAUGCAAGUCGAGCGGCAGCGGGAAAGUAGCUUGCUACUUUUGCCGGCGAGCGGCGGACGGGUGAGUAAUGCCUGGGAAAUUGCCCAGUCGAGGGGGAUAACAGUUGGAAACGACUGCUAAUACCACAUACGCCCUACGGGGGAAAGCAGGGGACCUUCGGGCCUUGCGCGAUUGGAUAUGCCCAGGUGGGAUUAGCUAGUUGGUGAGGUAAUGACUCACCAAGGCGACGAUCCCUAGCUGGUCUGAGAGGAUGAUCAGCCACACUGGAACUGAGACACGGUCCAGACUCCUACGGGAGGCAGCAGUGGGGAAUAUUGCACAAUGGGGGAAACCCUGAUGCAGCCAUGCCGCGUGUGUGAAGAAGGCCUUCGGGUUGUAAAGCACUUUCAGCGAGGAGGAAAGGUUGAUGCUUAAUACGUAUCAACUGUGACGUUACUCGCAGAAGAAGCACCGGCUAACUCCGUGCCAGCAGCCGCCGUAA
RNAcentral lists this ribosomal RNA (508 nucleotides) under uncultured bacterium. RNAcentral's name for it is "partial 16S ribosomal RNA". It matches the Rfam family "Bacterial small subunit ribosomal RNA", at positions 30 to 523 of the family's 1533-position model. The record is from RNAcentral.